ACGGGUGAGUAAUGCUUGGGAAUCUGGCUUAUGGAGGGGGAUAACUACGGGAAACUGUAGCUAAUACCGCGUAGUAUCGGAAGAUGAAAGUGCGGGACCGUAAGGCCGCAUGCCAUGAGAUGAGCCCAAGUGGGAUUAGGUAGUUGGUGGGGUAAAGGCCUACCAAGCCUGCGAUCUCUAGCUGGUCUGAGAGGAUGGCCAGCCACACUGGAACUGAGACACGGUCCAGACUCCUACGGGAGGCAGCAGUGGGGAAUAUUGCGCAAUGGGGGGAACCCUGACGCAGCCAUGCCACGUGGAUGAAGAAGGCCUUCGGGUUGUAAAGUUCUUUCAGUGACGAGGAAGGUUGAUAGGUUAAUAGUCUAUCAAAUUGACGUUAAUCACAGAAGAAGCACCGGCUAACUCCGUGCCAGCAGCCGCGGUAAUACGGGGGGUGCGAGCGUUAAUCGGAAUAACUGGGCGUAAAGGGCACGCAGGCGGUGACUUAAGUGAGAUGUGAAAGCCCCGAGCUUAACUUGGGAAUUGCAUUUCAUACUGGGUCGCUAGAGUACUUUAGGGAGGGGUAGAAUUCCACGUGUAGCGGUGAAAUGCGUAGAGAUGUGGAGGAAUACCGAAAGGCGAAAGCAGCCCCUUGGGAAUGUACUGACGCUCAUGUGCGAAAGCGUGGGGAGCAAACAGGAUUAGAUACCCUGGUAGUCCACGCUGUAAACG
RNAcentral lists this ribosomal RNA (711 nucleotides) under uncultured bacterium. Its description in RNAcentral is "bacterial SSU rRNA". It matches the Rfam family "Bacterial small subunit ribosomal RNA", at positions 102 to 808 of the family's 1533-position model. The record is from RNAcentral.